CUCGGAGGACUUGUUGCUGCUGCGCUGCCGCCGCUGCGGGGAAGCCGGCUAUUCCGGGGCUUGGUGCGGUCUUGGAGCCGGAGGGUGGCCCGUGUGAGCGCGAGCGCCCCGGACCUUCGCGGUGCGCGUGGACUGUGCGCUUCCUCGUCUUUGGUCGGGGUGAAGGCGGGGGCGUGUCCCCGGCCCAGAGCGUUUGUGUGUCCCGUCGUAGCGGGGGACCGCGUGUGUGCUUGCUUCUACUUCCCCGGGUCCUCCCUCUCUGCGCCUCCCUCUCUCCGGAGCUUCCUGCCCUAACCCCAACCACCUGUGUACCGGAGAAAUCCAACUCCUCCCGCUCCG
This 339-nucleotide long non-coding RNA is filed under the name Homo sapiens (human). RNAcentral's name for it is "HSALNT0012363". Lineage: Eukaryota; Metazoa; Chordata; Mammalia; Primates; Hominidae. The record is from RNAcentral.